GUGCCAGCCGCCGCGGUAAUAAGGAGGGUGCAAGCGUUAAUCGGAAUUACUGGGCGUAAAGCGUGUGUAGGUGGUUCGUUGAGUCGGAUGUGAGAGCCCCGGGCUCAACCUGGGAACUGCAUUCGAUACUGACGGACUAGAGUUUAGCAGAGGAAAGCGGAAUUCCGGGUGUAGCGGUGAAAUGCGUAGAUAUCCGGAGGAACACCAGUGGCGAAGGCGGCUUUCUGGGUUAAAACUGACACUGAGGCACGAAAGCGUGGGUAGCAAACAGGAUUAGAUACCCUGGUAGUCCACGCCCUAAACGAUGUCGACUGGCUGUCGGGUUCAUUUGGAACUUGGUAGCGAAGCUAACGCGUUAAGUCGACCGCCUGGGGAGUACGGCCGCAAGGUUAAAACUUAAAGGAAUUGACGUGG
Molecule: ribosomal RNA, 414 nt
Filed under: uncultured prokaryote
Description: bacterial SSU rRNA
Rfam family: Bacterial small subunit ribosomal RNA
Source: RNAcentral